UUUCCAGAAAACCACACCUUUCCUGAAUCCGAAUUAAUUUUUGACUACUCCUAUAAUACAGGACAUGUCUGGAAAAUGAGUAAAUCUUUGUACUUUAUUUUUGGGCUAAGUCAACCAUAAACCUGGCAGAAUCUGACUUGUCUGAGCAGUGUCCACCAAACUGUGUCUUCUAACCCAGGUGAGAUGUGAACCCAGGUUUACUCCAGCAGAACCAGAGAAGCAGGUAUCAUCUUGUGGGCGAGAUUGCAUGCAUCAACAGCCAAGUCCUUAGCAGAUGAAUGGAAACCACAAAAUUAAAGGUGUUGGCACAAAGGCCUACACUACAAGAGCUGAUCCAGGAAUGACAUUCUCUAAACAUUUUCAGACAAGUUAGGAACACAAAUAAGACCAGCUCUGGGAUGACCCCAUUUGUGUGACUACCACCAACAGUACAGUGUCCCCGAAAGUUUCAACUCUUCUUCUGGAGGCUGGCCUACAGAGUAGCAGCAUCUGUCUCUCCUCUCUCUGGCCAACUAAGAAUAACAAAGAAGAUCACCUGAGGGCACAACAAGACAAGACUCAGAAUACUUUGGCUCCAGAGACCCACUGCCCUGCCGACAUCCCGAGAACCAGCUGCUCUUUGGAUAUGGGGAACUGGACCUGGGCCCACUCUGUGUUGGGCUCAGUGUCCCCAUCCAUUCAGGUCCUACUCAGGUGACUCUAAAUCCCUAGACCCAUGAUCAGGCCUGGAUCCAGGACCACAGGAAUGCCCCCACCCUGGAUCUCACAUGACUCCCACAUGACCUCAUAUCACGCCCUCCCUGCUGGCCCCUACCACUCCCACCUCGCCAGCCCCCACCACCCCCUCCCAGCCAUGCAAUGACCAAAGUGUCAAUUACUUUCAAGCCUAAUCACAAUGUAGUCUAGUCAAAUCUCAACAUCAUUAUCUCAAAAAGAAAAGGACUCUGGGGAAAGAAGGUGGGGAGGGAGGGGUUGGGGUGGGGGCUUUGGGGUCCUGGAGCAGGAUGGUGGAAAAAGGACUCAAGGUGGAGGUGAGAGCGGUCUGCAGAUACCUGUCAUGGGGAGAUGAGAAAUUAUCCUCAUGUGUCAACACCUGUGUUGUAAACAAUUAACCUCCCAAUAAAGUGAGAAAAAAAAUUCUCAAACUCUGACAGUAAAGAUAUUUUUCUCUUUAGUUGUGUUUAUGUGAAACUAGCAAACAAUUUAACUGCUUCAAAGUUGGGGCAGGUAUAAGAUAGCAGAUAUACUGAGAUAUAGGCAUUCUUUUUCAAAAAAGCAAUAAAAUGGAAAAUUAAAACAGAA
Long non-coding RNA from Erinaceus europaeus (western European hedgehog), 1302 nucleotides. RefSeq lists it as uncharacterized. NCBI's taxonomy places the organism in Eukaryota, Metazoa, Chordata, Mammalia, Eulipotyphla, Erinaceidae. The transcript is spliced from 2 exons. The record is from RefSeq and is a predicted model, not a curated record.